CAAGGCCAAAGUUACUAACGAAACCACAUGUGACGACUUAGGCGUGAGACUGGAAUGGGUUUUAAAGGAAAUUAGAAAAAUGCUGAAACAGUGUAAGUGAAAGUGCGUGACUAGAACCUCACAGGCACUUCCUGGAGGUUAAAGGUGAGAAUAACAAGAUACUUAAUAACUAGAUGACCAGAUGCUGUGAAAGUAGGAAACUACUGAGUUCUCAGUACACUGGUUAAUGAGCACUAAAACAGUGAACAACCAGAAAGACCACACAAACAUAUUAGGAAAACAGUUACUUACAUAGUUAUGUACGUGGGAGUGGCCAGAAACAGAGAGGUAUAAAUUAUAAAACUUUGUGUUGUUUAAUUUUUCACUUGCGUCUCGAGUCCAGCUGGCUUUUGUAUAUUCUGUGAUUUCACAAUAACGUCUACCAGUAGCCUGAAGUUUCUGUCUGCCUCUCACAUUCGAGUUUUGUUUCACUAUAAUUUAUUAUGUGUAUUGACUAAAGAAGAACUUCAACAAAUUAGCGAGCCAGACCAGGAGGAAGACAUUAUCGAGACUGACCGGGACCAGGGUUCCGCAUCAGCCCUUUCAUACUCCAAUCACACUAGCCUGUAGAGAAAAGGUCUGUAGUGCUGUGAUUGGUCUGUGGGGAGCUACGACCGACCCCAGUAAAGGGUUCUGGUUGGUCCUGUGAAAUCCUCCUCAAAGAACCUGGUGGUGAACUGUGACUGUUGUUAUAAUCUGCUGAACAACAUAAAGGACCCAGGAUGUUUCUCAAGGAUGUGCAGCAUGGCGUCAUGCAGUGUCAGGAAGAACAUUGAUGGCUGAACUUCAUCAUCAAAGAAGCAACAGUCAUGCAGUUUCUCCAGGAUGUAAGCUACGGGUGGGGAGAAGACAUUUGUCAAAGUAGUUAAUUCAGAUGCCUAUAAAGAACUUAGAGACAAAGAAAUUAUGACACCAAGGAUUGUAAGCUGUCAAACAUGUCAACAUGUGUUUUUUCUUGAAAUACAGAUUGCGAAUAAGUGGGCUUCUAUUUAUUGUAAAACCAAUAAACUUUAUGAAAAGCUUAUCAUUUCUGUCUAAAAGGAA
Molecule: long non-coding RNA, 1083 nt
Organism: Micropterus salmoides (largemouth bass)
Lineage: Eukaryota; Metazoa; Chordata; Actinopteri; Centrarchiformes; Centrarchidae
Exons: 3
Source: RefSeq, a predicted model, not a curated record